GCCAAAAACUAGCCUGCACAACACACCAUAAAUCACUUCACACAAACUAAACCAUUUACCAAAUCCAGUAUAUGAGAUAGAACUUUAAACACAGCGCAAUAGCCCAAAUCGUACCACAAGGGAACCAUGAAAGACUAAUUAAUAACCACAAGCACAGCACAGCAGGGCUAAAGCCCCGUACCUCCUGCAUCAUGGUUUAGCCAGCAGCUCGCCGACAAAGUGCCCUGUGUCCGCCACCCCGAAGCCAGACGAGCUACCUAAGAGCAAUCACCAAGAAUC
Molecule: ribosomal RNA, 279 nt
Filed under: Gekko hokouensis x Gekko yakuensis
Lineage: Eukaryota; Metazoa; Chordata; Lepidosauria; Squamata; Gekkonidae
Description: partial 16S ribosomal RNA
Source: RNAcentral